GGGGGUGAAAUUGGUUUCGACGGGAUUAUUUGUUCUUUGAAUUGCAUGCCGUGUUCGCCGAAGACACGUAAAACGUCGGUAAAAAAAUAGUUGACAACAACUACGCAUUAGCUGCGUAAAUUAAACGCAGCCGUUCUCCUUUCCUUUUCAUACCGAGGGAAGACAGAACGCCGCAAAGGUAUGAUAGCCAAUCCGAGCUUCCGGGUAGGAGCGGCGAAACUUUUUACCGGAAUAGUCUUAACGGAUUCUGUCUGCCGAAGCCGUAAAGAUGAAACUCAAAGACAGACUAUGCAUGUAGAAAUUCACUGAAAAAUAUUUUCGGACGCGGGUUCGACUCCCGCCACCUCCACUC
This 352-nucleotide transfer-messenger RNA is filed under the name Melioribacteraceae. RNAcentral describes it as "JAADIR01 sp013151245 Standard tmRNA". It matches the Rfam family "transfer-messenger RNA". From Rfam's summary of the family: Bacterial tmRNA, also known as 10Sa RNA or SsrA, is named for its dual tRNA and mRNA-like properties. Its role is to liberate the mRNA from a stalled ribosome. To accomplish this part of the tmRNA is used as a reading frame that ends in a translation stop signal. RNAcentral also lists the same sequence under 1 other name. Lineage: Bacteria; Pseudomonadati; Ignavibacteriota; Ignavibacteria; Ignavibacteriales. The record is from RNAcentral.